This is a non-coding RNA of Mus caroli (Ryukyu mouse), 326 nucleotides long. NCBI's taxonomy places the organism in Eukaryota, Metazoa, Chordata, Mammalia, Rodentia, Muridae. The record is from RefSeq and is a predicted model, not a curated record.
CCAGUGUCUAAGUGAAGCGGCCAGGGAUCUGAGAGCUAAGAGGCCAUUUCAAAGAGCAGUUUUCAGAUCUCAUCCCAACAAGAUGAAAAACAUUCUUCCCAGCCUCCUGGAUGCAGGCAAAGCUUCAUGCCCACAGUCUGCUGUGCAACUGGGCUGCAGCUGAGCCGGGGGAAAGAGCCAAACUAUCCAGGACCAAUUCAAGUUUUUCUGAGCGCUAGAAGCACAGAAGUAGACACUGCUGUCCCGCGCACCUGAACAGAUGAAGCUUGGAGCGACCCGCCCAAUUUAGCAAAUAACUUGGAAAACAUUUUUCUUAGUAAACAAAA